GAGGGAGGGAGGGAGGAGGGGGAGGAGGAGGAGAGGGCAGGACACCUGCCUCAGGGGGGGAGCAGGCGUGACCCGCGGGCCAUCCCUGGCUUCGAGAGUCGAGAGUGUCACCUUCCGUCUGUCGGAUCGGAACCCGGAUUUACCGCUUUGGAGGGAUGAGAGGCAGGUUGCCUGCCGGGCAGCACUGGCACCGCCGAGGACGCCGAGGCUUCUUCCACCGGCACGCGGCUUCCCGGGAGCUUUAUCGAGGAAUCUAUGUUUGGAUUUGAUUCUAAAUUGAGGAGUUUGGAUUUCAGGACACUGGAAAUCUCCAAGAAAACGUUUCUUUUUUUCUUUUUUUUUGCUGUAGGAUUUACAAUAUGUCCACCUGACCGUACUCCUUGUGGCUCUGGAAAAAAAGGCAAAAAAAAACUGAUUUAAGUAAAUGUGUAUUCCUUGAUAAAAAAAAAAAAAAUACACGAUUACCUCAAAAGUACUUUAGAAUGCUGCUAUCUUCGUUAUAUGAUCCGUGUCCUAGCUCUCAAAGAGAUUGACCAAUGAAGCCAUGGGACUCAGCCAGAGCUUUACAAAUGGGGCCUGCGGUAAAGCCCUGGACCAGCCGGUCGGAGAGUGGCUGGAGCACGUGGGGCUGCCGCAGUACGAGAGCAAGUUCCUGCUCAACGGCUUCGACGACCUGCGGUUCAUGGGAAGUAACGUGAUGGAGGACCAGGAUCUCAGAGACUUUGGGAUCACCGACCCAGGACACAGGAAGAAGAUCCUCCACGCGGCACGCAGCUUGCCCAAGGUUAAAGCGCUGGGCUGUGACGGCAGCACAUCCCUUGUCACCUGGCUGGACGGCCUUGGCCUGCAUGAAUAUCUACCCAACUUCCUGUCAAGUGGCUACCGCACGCUGGAGUGUGUGAAGAACCUGUGGGAGCUGGAGAUCGUCAACGUCAUUAAGAUCGGUGCCCUGGGUCACAGGAAGAGGAUCAUCGCCUCUCUGGCAGAGAGGCCCUACGAAGAGGCUCCGUCAAAGUCCCGCCGUAUGUCCCCGAUUAUGUUCCACGACCUCCUGUCCCAGACCACGUCCCCCCUCAGUCAGAUGGACCCGUACACCAGUCGCUCCAUGGACAUGCUCCUGCCCUCGAGCGAGUCCGACCGGAGGCGGAGAGGAGUUGACCAGGACUGUAGUGUUUCUCUGCGGUCGUAUAGCGAGAGGCCGCGCUCCGUAGACAGAAAGAGCGAACGGCACAAAGACUCCCGAUUAAACCUCCGGCCGCCGAGCACGUCCGCCACGUACGCCACGGUGUCCGCCUGGCACCACCAGCCCGAGAAGCUCAUCCUGGACUCCUGCGGGUACGAGGCAACCUACCUAGGAUCAAUGGUAAUCAGGGAUCUACGAGGAAUCGAGUCCACACAAGAGGCCUGUGCUAAAAUUAGAAAGUCAAAGGAUGCAAGAAAGGGUCCAGUUGUCAUUCUGUCCAUCACCUACAGAGGGGUCAAGUUCAUCGAUGCAGCCACGAAGGCCAUAGUAGCGGAGCAUGAGAUCAGGAACAUCUCCUGCGCCGCCCAGGACCCAGAUGACCUCUGCGCUUUUGCUUACAUCACCAAGGAUCUGAAUAGCGGCCACCACUUCUGCCAUGUGUUCAGUACUGUGGAAGUGACGCAGACCUACGAGAUCAUCCUCACACUGGGACAGGCAUUUGAGGUGGCCUAUCAGAUGGCGAUGCAGGCCAGGGCCAGACACUAUGUCCCGCCCACAUCUCUGAGCCCAGAGGUCAUAGAGACCAAAGCCAGCCGCCCGGUAUCUCAGUCAUGGAGCAGCAUGCGAAGAUCAGCAGUCCUCCUGCCUCCCAGGGAGCCCCUCCGCUCGAAUGCCGCUGCUGUCACUGUCACACGUGUACUACCCACCGUCCCUCCUUCCUCCCGUUGCACUCUGUUAGCCCUGGAGUCCAGAUCGACCCCCUGGAGAUGGACGCAGACAUGCAGUCCCUGGGCGGCAGCACCACCUGGCUCUUGGACCCGCGGGACCCCCACAGGCGCCCCGUCAGCACCAAGUACGAGACCACCAUAUUCUGAGGCCGGACCCCCGCGGGCGCCCCUCAGCACGCCCUCGUGCUCCCCCCUCCCCACCCCCGCAUCCCAUCCUUUACUUAUCUCUCACACACGCACACGUUUAUACAUGCCAGCCCCGUGCCUUCUCACUGUGAUGGUAUAGCCUCCCUCAGGGCGGCCGACUCCCGCACCCCCCAACCCCCUCCUCGCCCCCCUUGCCCCGCCCAGCGACCCACGCCGACCUCGCUGCCCGCCACGACGAGCACUCCUGCGGCCCUCCCGUGCCUACCCGAAACCUCCCCCCACCCCGCCACCGCCCCCCCGCCCCCCCAAGGCCUAUUGUGGCCGCAGCCAACGGCGGAGCCCUGGAGCGGAGCAUCGUGGACUGAUCUCGUUCCAAAAUGGCCUCGCUCUCUCAACCAAACUGCCUCUUCCUCCUCAUCCUCCUCUUCCUCAACUUGCAUCUGCCUCCACAUCCCCGAUAUCUACCAGAGCCUGUCCUGUCUUACCAGGCAUCUUCCACUGUGAGGCCCCAUGAGGAGGCUGCUUUGCUAGCAUGGGAUGCAAGACGGACAAUUAAAUCAAUGAAAGACAAAACGGCAACAUGCAGCCAACAACCCGCGCUUUCCUUUCAAAGCAUUUGUACGAUUCUCAGAACUCCACGACGGAUCGGUCACGAAUCUGCCGCUGAUGUCUGAACUCAAAACGGACCACGGACGAACACACACACACACAAGAGGACAACAGCCUUACGUCAUUUUGGUUAUUUAUAAUCAACUGCAGACCCCCCCCCCACCAACUGCACGUCUCCCCCUGAUUCUAAGAGAAGGAAGACGAAUCUCCCCCCGGUGGGUCACGAUGAUGAUGAGCGAUGACGUCGCUCUUCUGUUCAGUUUCGUCCAUUUGUCCAGAUGAGAGUCGUCGCCCCCCCCCCCCCCUACACACACACACACACACACACACAACCCUUCCCAGCAGUCCCUCAGCCUUCACGGUAGCACCGAGAGACCGCAACUUACUCCUACUUGUCAAUUUAAAAUAUAUAUAUAUAUAAAACACUGUGUUAAAACGUGGCACUAUCCCUUUUAAUACCUUAUUUUCUUUUCUUAUGGUUGGAUAAAUUGGAUAUUAGUGCAUUUUGUGAUACUUUUUGAUAGACUGAUGCACCUGGUUGAAAUGCUUUCGGAGUGAGCGAUUAAGAAGGGGGGGGGGGGGGGCGGUCAAUGAUCAAUGAGUGUACCGACGUCACAUCCACAACAGAUCAUUUGAUUUGCACAUUUCCCCCCACGUAGCAUCUUAUUGUCGCGGUGACACGGGUGGGCAUCCGUGCGGUUUGCACCGUUUUCGAACCAGGCACAGAACAAGCAAGAGGAGCCUCGCCUGAAAAUAAAAACCUCGGUGAAAAGAUGUAAUUCCACGGCGUACGUGAGAGUGAAAUCCGAGCGCUGCCCCGCGUUGUGUUGCUUACGCUGAGAACGUGACGCCGUUCUUAUUUGUGCCCUGUGACUCACAAACGCUGGAGUCGUCACAUAUCUGUCGUCCCCCCCCCCUUCCUCCACCCCCUGUGUGCACCGCUACCUGCUGUGCGUGCUUGUGUGCCCUUGUUGUGUGUGGUCGUGGGAGUUUGGAAGCUGUCACUGUCCUUGUUUGUGCGUGCUGCAGGAGAUGUGCGGCAUCGAGCUCCGGAAGGGGGUCAGGGAGGGGAGGAGAGGAGGGGAGGGGGGGAGGGUCGGGGGCUGUGAAGACGUGACCGGGGCUGUGUGCCGGUACCGUGUCGUUGCCACUGUUGUUUCUGACUGACAGCUUCCCGCUGACGAUGCAUGUUGCCAGCGUUUUCUUCUUUUGUGUUUUCUGUUCCCUUUGCACUCCGUGUCUCGUCUCUCCUCUCACCCAUCCGCCACGCGCUCCUUCUGCCCCCCCCCACUCCCCUCCAUCCUCCUCAUCCUCAUCCCUCCACCCAGCACUUUGUCACGUGUGUUCUUUCCACUUUGUGUGUGUGUGUGUGUCACCAAGGCGAACCUGCUCCAGUAUGGAUGCAUAAUAUAAAAGCAUUACACUUUGAUGAGCGGCAGCUAUUUAAAGCGAGUAUUGGUGGCGUGAUUCAGGCUGUGCAUGUGCCCCCGGUUCUCCUUUUUAACAUUGGUGUUUUCCUUGUGUAGCUCACGCCGGCGUUCAAGUUCCCGGAUACCAAGCUGUGAGUUGAAGGGGAAGCAGCCGAUGCGAGCGCGUUGAGUUUUAGUGGGCAGAGCGAGUGGAAGAGAGGGAGAGAGAGGAAACCAGAGUCACGACUCACCCGUUUAGAUCUCACUCUGUACACCCCGAUCCCGUCCGCCCGGAGAGGUCGGUCAGAGGAGGACGGAGUCAAUGUCGUGACCUCGUCAUGAAGGUACUGUGUUGCUUAGAGCACUGGAGACCGUAAAGGGACGUUUCUAUUGAUUCAGGUUCCGCUGGCGUCAAUAACCGUCAAUGGUGUCGAGGUUAAAUCCAAAAUGUAACAAAGCGUAGAGAACAAAUAAAUAAACUACCAGCAUACAAUGCUUUUGACAGCGCAGGGUUUCUGAAUGAAAAUGUGAUUCUGUUCUAAAUCUCAAAGCAAUAUCAUAUUAAUGAAAAGUUGAAUAAUACAAUGACAAAAGAAUCCCUCUCAAGUCUGUUGUCAGCAUUUUGUUUUAUGGUCAAAGAGUAAAUCACAGGAACAUAACACCAGCUGUAGGGACAAAUAUAACAUGGUAAAUAUAUAUAUAUAUAUAUAUAUAUAUAUAUAUAUAUAUAUAUAUAUAUA
This is a non-coding RNA of Gasterosteus aculeatus aculeatus (three-spined stickleback), 4816 nucleotides long. The record is from RefSeq and is a predicted model, not a curated record. Lineage: Eukaryota; Metazoa; Chordata; Actinopteri; Perciformes; Gasterosteidae.